UGCUUAGGAAUCUACCAAGUAGUGGGGAGUAGCCAUUGGAAACGAUGAUUAAUACCGCAUAUAUCCUAUGGGGGAAAGGCAGGGGAGUCUUUCGGGACCUUGCGCUAUUUGAUGAGCCUGAGUGAGAUUAGCUAGUUGGUGGGGUAAAAGGCCUACCAAGGCGACGAUCUCUAGCUGGUCUGAGAGGAUGAUCAGCCACACUUGGGGACUGAGACACGGCCCAGACUCCUACGGGAGGCAGCAGUGGGGAAUAUUGCACAAUGGGGGAAACCCGUGAUGCAGCCAUGCCGCGUGUGUGAA
RNAcentral lists this ribosomal RNA (300 nucleotides) under uncultured Oleispira sp. RNAcentral's name for it is "bacterial SSU rRNA". It matches the Rfam family "Bacterial small subunit ribosomal RNA", at positions 114 to 409 of the family's 1533-position model. The record is from RNAcentral. Lineage: Bacteria; Pseudomonadati; Pseudomonadota; Gammaproteobacteria; Oceanospirillales; Oceanospirillaceae.